UACGAAGGGGGCUAGCGUUGCUCGGAAUCACUGGGCGUAAAGCGCACGUAGGCGGAUCUUUAAGUCAGGGGUGAAAUCCUGGAGCUCAACUCCAGAACUGCCUUUGAUACUGGGGAUCUCGAGUCCGGAAGAGGUGAGUGGAACUCCGAGUGUAGAGGUGAAAUUCGUAGAUAUUCGGAAGAACACCAGUGGCGAAGGCGGCUCACUGGUCCGGUACUGGCGCUGAGGUGCGAAAGCGUGGGGAGCAAACAGG
This 253-nucleotide ribosomal RNA is filed under the name uncultured bacterium. Its description in RNAcentral is "partial 16S ribosomal RNA". It matches the Rfam family "Bacterial small subunit ribosomal RNA", at positions 524 to 776 of the family's 1533-position model. The record is from RNAcentral.